Molecule: ribosomal RNA, 768 nt
Filed under: uncultured bacterium
Lineage: Bacteria
Description: bacterial SSU rRNA
Rfam family: Bacterial small subunit ribosomal RNA
Source: RNAcentral
AGAGUUUGAUCCUGGCUCAGGACGAACGCUGGCGGCGUGCUUAACACAUGCAAGUCGAGCGGUAAGGCCCUUCGGGGUACACGAGCGGCGAACGGGUGAGUAACACGUGGGUAAUCUGCCCUGCACUCUGGGAUAAGCCUGGGAAACUGGGUCUAAUACCGGAUAUGACUCUUCAUCGCAUGGUGAGGGGUGGAAAGUUCCGGCGGUGCAGGAUGAACCCGCGGCCUAUCAGCUUGUUGGUGGGGUAAUGGCCUACCAAGGCGACGACGGGUAGCCGGCCUGAGAGGGCGACCGGCCACACUGGGACUGAGACACGGCCCAGACUCCUACGGGAGGCAGCAGUGGGGAAUAUUGCGCAAUGGGCGAAAGCCUGACGCAGCGACGCCGCGUGAGGGAUGACGGCCUUCGGGUUGUAAACCUCUUUCGCCAGGGACGAAGCGAGAGUGACGGUACUGGAGAAGAAGCACCGGCUAACUACGUGCCAGCAGCCGCGGUAAUACGUAGGGUGCGAGCUUGUCCGGAAUUAUUGGGCGUAAAGAGCUCGUAGGCGGUUUGUUGCGUCGCUGUGAAAACCUGCAGCUUAACUGUGGGCCUGCAGUCGAUACGGGCAGACUUGAGUUCGGUAGGGGAGACUGGGAAUUCCUGGUGUAGCGGUGAAAUGCGCAGAUAUCAGGAGGAACACCGGUGGCGAAGCGGGUCUCUGGGCCGAUACUGACGCUGAGGAGCGAAAGCGUGGGGAGCGAACAGGAUUAGAUACCCUAGUAGUCC